Molecule: long non-coding RNA, 1350 nt
Organism: Lagenorhynchus albirostris (white-beaked dolphin)
Lineage: Eukaryota; Metazoa; Chordata; Mammalia; Artiodactyla; Delphinidae
Exons: 2
Source: RefSeq, a predicted model, not a curated record
UUUUUAGCGAAAGUGGUUGGGGCGGCCUCACAGAGAAGGGAGUCUGAGCUGAUGUGCAGAAGGUAAGGGAAGGAGCGAUCCAGACACCCAGGGAAGGGUGGUCCAGGAAGAAGGAACAGCAGAUGCAAAGGUCCUGUGGCAGAAACAUGCUGGGGAUGCUUGAGCAACAGCAAGGAGGUGAAGCGGGGUUGAGGAGACGGUGAGGGUCAGCCACAGAGGGCCUGGUGGGCCGUGGUGAGGACUCGGGCUUUUAUUCUGGGUGAGUCCGGGGACGUGACCUGACUUGGGUUUUCACAGGAUCCCUCCGGCUGCUGAGUGGAGAACAAAUUGCAGGAGGCGAGGAUGGGAGCAGGGAGCCCAGAGAGGAGGCAAUGGUGGCAGGGGAAGAGGCGAAAAGUGGUUGGAGACUGGAUUUGAUGGCAAAGCAACGGGGUCUGCAGACGGACUGACCAGGAAGCGUAGGGGAAAGAGCAGAGUCAAGGGCCCGCUGGAAUCUGAGCCGGACAGCAGGGCAGAGCAGCUAAAAGUGGGCGGCCAGGCAGGAUGUGAAGUGCACACGCGCCCUUACACCAGCUCUCUUGGUUGGUCAAGCAACUGCUCCAGCUAAGGCCAUUUCUCGCUAAGGUAUUCUGAUGGUCCCAAAGCUACUAAUUAUCUUAUUAGGAGAGGGGUUGGCCUCCCGCCCAGGACCAUGCAGGGAGGGCUGCUGCUCAGAGCCUCAGAGACAGAGAAAAAUAGCUGAGAUAUGCAAAGCCUUCAACUCUUCCUCACCCAGCAGCUCUUUGUGUGUCUUGUUUCAGAACCUGGCCUUUCCCCAAAGUCUAAACUGAGAUUGGCGGUUUACAUCUGACUUUGAAUCCUUAAACCAUCUGGGGAUAUACGGUGUAAGGGGACUCGGGUUCGAGCCCUGGUCUGGGAAGAUCCCACAUGCCACGGAGCAACUAAGCCUGUGUGCCACAACUACUGAGCCUGCGAUCUAGAGCCUGCGAGCCGCAACUACUGAGCCCACGUGCCACAACUACUGAAGCCCGUGUGCCUAGAGCCCGUGCUCCGGAGCAAGAGAAGCCACUGCAACGAGAAGCCCGCGCACCACAAGGAAGAGUAGCCCCCGCUCGCCGCAACUAGAGAAAGCCCGUGCAGCAAAGAAGACCCAACGCGGCCAAAAAUAAAUUUAAAAAAAAAAGUAAAAUCAGUGAUGUUUUCAGCAGAACUGGCAAAAAGUUGACUGAAACUUUAAUUAUCAAGAACAUCAUUCAAAAUAGAGACUUUAGGUUUUAUCAUUAGUAAUGACUAUUGAUAAAUAUAAUGCUAUUUAAAAUGUCUGACUUUUUAAAAUCUUCCUCACCUGUU